GGCUAAUUUUUUUAACGGUUUUUUUAUUAAUAACAAUUGUAAUUUUCUUUUUCUCAAAAAAUCCAAAAAACUCUUUUUUCUAGACGCCAUUCCGGAUCGUUUAAGCCAUCAACCAUAUUUUUAGGAGAC
This is a long non-coding RNA of Cotesia glomerata, 129 nucleotides long. RefSeq lists it as uncharacterized. The transcript has 3 exons. The record is from RefSeq and is a predicted model, not a curated record. Lineage: Eukaryota; Metazoa; Arthropoda; Insecta; Hymenoptera; Braconidae.